Molecule: ribosomal RNA, 3045 nt
Filed under: Triticum aestivum (bread wheat)
Lineage: Eukaryota; Viridiplantae; Streptophyta; Magnoliopsida; Poales; Poaceae
Description: partial small subunit ribosomal RNA
Source: RNAcentral
AUGAAAUAUGCUGCACCCUUUUUAGUGGUCCCUGCAACCACGUUGCAGCACGCCGGCCGCCGGAGUCACCACCACCGCAGCCACGGCCCCCUCGUCGCACCACCAGGGAGCCACGCCAUCGCGCACCGGACCGCAGGCCCGCCCCGGCCCAGAUGGGGCCCGAAAGGGCCUAGAUCUAGGUCGAGCGGGCGCCGCCGGCCAGACGACCACCGCGCCGCCCCGCAGCCAACGGCCACGCCGCCGCGUCAAGGGCAUCCGAGGCCCGCAGAACGCCGCUGCCGAGCCUCACCGCCAUGGACCACAAAAACACAUAAAUACACUGAUAAAGGAUGGCCACGUAAGCUCGGGACCUUGUGUGCACUCCUUGGCACCGAGAAUUGGCAUGGGACGCUGAGGGAAGCGGAGGGCGCCGGGGACGUCACGGAGGGGAGGGGAGACGUUGUGGUGGGCCUACAUAUUAGGGAUAAAGACCAAUGGCUUUGGAUAAUGCUUCGAAAAUUUCGAUUGAGAAAAGAGAUGAAGAUGGAUAAUAUCCACGUUAAUGAAGAAUCCAUCAACAAGGGUCUGAAGGCGAUGUUGUUGACCAUUCGUUUGCUGCCGUACCUACCACCGAUCAAGCUACUCCUCCAAAUUCGACGAAGAAAGAGUAGCCUGCAGAUCAGAACACUUCCCAUGGCAGCAAAUCCGACCAUCUUCCUAUUGCCUGCCUGGGGCGUCGGCCACUUCAUGCCCAUGACCGAGGCCGCCAAGCGGAUGGUCCAAUGUAGCAGUAGCGCCCUCUCGCUCACUGUGCUCCUUUCCAACGCAGGGACGUUUGACAAGGAACGCAAUAGCGGACAACAGCUACACCAGCCGCCCCGCCUUCUCCGUAUUGGCUGGCACCUCCUCCCGUCGCCCCUCCUCCCCCCUCGCGCCGUCGUGCCAUUCUGCUACCCCUCAUGCCGUCGGGCCCCGCUCGCGGUCGCCGCGCCAAUGACCGCGCCACGCGCCAGCCUUGGUCGUCCCACCACGGCUGCAUGCGCUCGCGCCCUGGCCGCCCACUGCGGCCCCCGCUUCGCCCCUUCCCCCUCACGCCUCUGCUCACCCCCGCGCCGCUCAGUGCCGCCCGCUUCUGGCCCCGUCCGGCUUCUGCCGCGCCGACACGCACUCCCGCCAUUCGCAGCUCAGCCGGCCUCGCCGGUCCGCCCCUGCUUCCCCCUCCCCUGCCCUGCUUCUCAGCGUGGGUGCGCACCAGGACGGCCUGCAGCCCAGGCUGCUCGUCUCACCAUGCGCCGCCGCCGACGAAAUCUGCAGUUCCCCGGCUCUUCCCAGCGCCGCGCCGCCUGCGUGCCGUUCCCCGGCUCCGUCGGCUCGGCGCAGAACGGGAGGCGGCAGCGGAGAUCUCCCCAUCGUCUUGGACCACGGCGUGGGAUGCAGCUUGAGCCACUAAGCGCCGUCGCGGGCCUCGAGGACGGAGGAGGAGGCGGGAAGGAGGACUGGGUGGGGAUGGCGGCGGCCUGCGCAUGUGAGCGGGACGUCGGAGAAGGCAGGGAAGGAGGACUGGGUGGGGACGCCAGCUCGUGCGCGCUCACUGGUAGGUGGGACCAAGGGCGGACACGAGCAGACGACAGCGGUCGAGCAGAGCGUCCGCUUUUGUCCGCUUCAUACCCAUUUCUUCCCAGAUUUGGGCCAAGUUUGGGUCGGGGACGGACAACACGUGGACACGGGCAUCCGUUUUGGUCGCCCCGUUUGGCCAUGUUUUGUGUCCAAAUAACCCAAACGGACAAAAUGGGUCGCCCCAUUGGAGCUGCGGUGGCCGGAGACGAGCAACUCGACGUCGCCGGCGGCGGGGCAUUUCGGGCGAGCAACGACAACGAUGAUGCGGCGCGCUAUUGGCAAACAGAAGAGCGGGGCGAGGCCUACGUGCGCUCGCGAGCACAACGGCCCGAGCCCGGGACCAAAGGGUCACCGGACGGCUGCCGGCGACGAGCACGGGCGGCGACGCGUACGGGAGCUCGAGCAGAUCGGAGCUACGACGAGCUAGCGAACAAACAGAGAGGCUGGGAAGGGUCUACAGGGCGCGACGAGUGCAACCGGCACUGGCCCGUGACCAUUUGGUCACCGGAGACUCCUAGGGCGCGCGAGAGAGAGGAGGCAGUGGGGGCUCACCGAGCGGCACACACGGUGGCCCUUGGGGUUUUUGUAGCAGUAAGGGCGUCGCCGGAGUUGGUGAAGAGCGGCGACGAAGCUCGUUGGAGCAGAGGAGGAAGACAGCGGCGUCGUGGGCGUUGCGGUGGCUCCGGUUUCCAACGGGUUGCACCAGUCGAAGAAGCGGACGACGGCGACCCUUGGAGACACAGUGGGGCGGCGAGGUGGGCGCGGUGGCCGUGGCUACGCUGGAACCAUGGCGGCGGCGGCGCUCGGAUGCGAAGGGGAAGGAGAGGCAGUGAGGUGGAUCUGAGGGGAGAGGGAGGCGCAAGGACCAAGAGGGAGAGCAGGGGUGAGUGGGAGAGGGGAUCGAGGAGGCGGGGGCCGGCGCCGACGACGCAGGCCGCGUCCGACGUCGCCGACCACGUGCGUCGGGAGGAGGAGUCCGGUGCCGCGGACAUCCGCUUCCACCACCUCCCGCCCGUGCAACUCCCUGCUGACUACAUGGGCGUCAAGGAGUGGAUCUCGCGCAUCGUGCAGCUCCACGUGCCCCCAACAAUGCCCGUCGUACCGCUGACCGGGGCGGACGACGACGAAGCAACGCGAUACUUGAUGCUCAAUAAGAUCAUCUUGGAGCUGAGCAUGAACUUGUCGGUUCUUGAUUCGGCGAUGCUCUGCAAGAAAUGCCAGGAUCCUAUUUGUAUCGUACUCUGGCUCAACCAGAGCCUCAUUGGUGAUGUACUGAAAGCGUGCGCAAGCAAGGUCAGAUGUGUUGGCCGCCAAAGAGGAAGAAGAUAUGUGGCAAUCCGACGAAUCGGUUAUGGCGACGGCGGCGGGAUUUCACCUCGAUUCCGGCUCGCCGUCAGGCAGAAGGGCGUGGCAAUGAGGUUGCAGAGGGGAAAAGGCGGUCGCCGAUGA